This 253-nucleotide ribosomal RNA is filed under the name uncultured bacterium. RNAcentral describes it as "partial 16S ribosomal RNA". It matches the Rfam family "Bacterial small subunit ribosomal RNA", at positions 524 to 776 of the family's 1533-position model. The record is from RNAcentral.
UACAGAGGUCUCAAGCGUUGUUCGGAUUCAUUGGGCGUAAAGGGUGCGUAGGUGGCGCCGUAAGUCGGGUGUGAAAUUUCGGAGCUUAACUCCGAAACUGCAUUCGAUACUGCGGUGCUUGAGGACUGGAGAGGAGACUGGAAUUCAUGGUGUAGCAGUGAAAUGCGUAGAGAUCAUGAGGAAGACCAGUGGCGAAGGCGGGUCUCUGGACAGUUCCUGACACUGAGGCACGAAGGUCAGGGGAGCAAACGGG